UGGGAUUUUUACAUGUCAAGUUCGGCCAGGUUCGCUGUUUCAAGAAAAAAAUGAUGCAGAACAUUGGGCAUCUUGGGGUGUUGACUAUUUGAAGUACGACAACUGCUACAAUCUGGGCCUCCCACCACAAAAAAGAUACCCACCCAUGCGGGAUGCCCUUAAUGCUACUGGACGAACUAUUUUUUACGCACUUUGUGAAUGGGGCAUUGAUGACCCUGCCAAAUGGGCAGGAAAAAUUGGAAACAGUUGGCGUACAACAGAUGAUAUCAAUGAUACAUGGAUAAGCAUGACAACGAUUGCCGAUAUCAAUAACAAGUGGGCUUCCUAUGCUGGACCCGGUGGAUGGAACGAUCCUGAUAUGUUAGAAGUUGGGAAUGGCGGCAUGAAUUACCACGAGUACAAAGGGCACUUUAGCAUCUGGGCUCUGAUGAAGGCUCCACUUAUAAUUGGUUGUGAUGUCAGAAACAUCACUGCUGAUGCUUUAGAAAUUCUUUCCAAUAAAGAGGUUAUCGCUGUUAACCAAGAUCCCCUUGGCGUUCAGGGUAGGAGAGUUUACUCUUCUGGACCAGAUGGUUGCCAGCAGGUUUGGGCUGGUCCAUUGUCUCGAAACCGUUUGGCUAUGGUACUCUGGAACAGAUGUUCAAAAGCUGCAACUAUUACUGCUAAAUGGAGUGCCAUUGGACUAGAACCCUCGAUUAGCGUCUCUAUGAGAGACUUGUGGAAGCAUAAAGUUGUCUCAGAGAACACGGUGGGCUCAUUUAGUGCCCGGGUUAAAGCUCAUGGCUGUGAAAUGUACAUUUUAACUCCACAGAGAGCUACUCGAUCUUCUAUAUAACUGAAGUGCAAGAGGAGUUCGCGGCUUGUACAACCUCAAUAGUAGGCUUCCCUGUUUGUUAAGUCUUUCUAAUCUACAUCUGUGCCUACUGUUCUCUUCAUGCUCUUAUACAUUACUAGUUCCCUUUGAACUUGCAA
RNAcentral lists this unclassified non-coding RNA (972 nucleotides) under Hevea brasiliensis (rubber tree). The record is from RNAcentral. Lineage: Eukaryota; Viridiplantae; Streptophyta; Magnoliopsida; Malpighiales; Euphorbiaceae.